Molecule: long non-coding RNA, 316 nt
Organism: Bufo bufo (common toad)
Lineage: Eukaryota; Metazoa; Chordata; Amphibia; Anura; Bufonidae
Exons: 4
Source: RefSeq, a predicted model, not a curated record
AGCAGAAGAUCCUAGAAUUUACCACCAGGAUCACUGAGCUGCUGAGCGGAGAGGUUUCUAUAAGGUGUCAGGAUGUUGCUGUCUAUUUCUCCAUGAAGGAGUGGAAGUAUUUAGAAAAACAUAAGGAUCUGUACAAGGACGUCAUGAUGGAGAAUCACCAGUCCCUCACAUCACCGGAUGGAUCCAGUCAGAGAAAUCCACCAGAGAGAUGUCCCAGUCCUCUGUAUUCCCAGGACUGUCCACAGGAAAAGCAGAAUGCCCCACUGGAUCAUCAAGAAAGUUCAGGUGGAACGACGAGUGAGCUCAAAAAACCCGG